Molecule: RNA transcript, 3560 nt
Organism: Pan troglodytes (chimpanzee)
Lineage: Eukaryota; Metazoa; Chordata; Mammalia; Primates; Hominidae
Gene: ATIC
Gene name: 5-aminoimidazole-4-carboxamide ribonucleotide formyltransferase/IMP cyclohydrolase
Exons: 17
Source: RefSeq, a predicted model, not a curated record
AGGGCGCCGGGCAGGGCCGGCGGGCCACGUGACAAGCCCGGAAACAGCUUCGCCCCCUCGCUUCCUGAGCCGCCACAUCCCGGCAGCCCUCCUACCUGCGCACGUGGUGCCGCCGCUGCUGCCUCCCGCUCGCCCUGAACCCAGUGCCUGCAGCCAUGGCUCCCGGCCAGCUCGCCUUAUUUAGUGUCUCUGACAAAACUGGCCUUGUGGAAUUUGCAAGAAACCUGACCGCUCUUGGUUUGAAUCUGGUCGCUUCCGGAGGGACUGCAAAAGCUCUCAGGGAUGCUGGUCUGGCAGUCAGAGAUGUCUCUGAGUUGACGGGAUUUCCUGAAAUGUUGGGGGGACGUGUGAAAACUUUGCAUCCUGCAGUCCAUGCUGGAAUCCUAGCUCGUAAUAUUCCAGAAGAUAAUGCUGACAUGGCCAGACUUGAUUUCAAUCUUAUAAGAGUUGUUGCCUGCAAUCUCUAUCCCUUUGUGAAGACAGUGGCUUCUCCAGGUGUAACUGUUGAGGAGGCUGUGGAGCAAAUUGACAUUGGUGGAGUAACCUUACUGAGAGCUGCAGCCAAAAACCACGCUCGAGUGACAGUGGUGUGUGAACCAGAGGACUAUGUGGUGGUGUCCACGGAGAUGCAGAGCUCCGAGAGUAAGGACACCUCCUUGGAGACUAGACGCCAGUUAGCCUUAAAGGCAUUCACUCAUACGGCACAAUAUGAUGAAGCAAUUUCAGAUUAUUUCAGGAAACAGUACAGCAAAGGCGUAUCUCAGAUGCCCUUGAGGUAUGGAAUGAACCCUCAUCAGACCCCUGCCCAGCUGUACACACUGCAGCCCAAGCUUCCCAUCACAGUUCUAAAUGGAGCCCCUGGAUUUAUAAACUUGUGUGAUGCUUUGAAUGCCUGGCAGCUGGUGAAGGAACUCAAGGAGGCUUUAGGUAUUCCAGCCGCUGCCUCUUUCAAACAUGUCAGCCCAGCAGGUGCUGCUGUUGGAAUUCCACUCAGUGAAGAUGAGGCCAAAGUCUGCAUGGUUUAUGAUCUCUAUAAAACCCUCACACCCAUCUCAGCGGCAUAUGCAAGAGCAAGAGGGGCUGAUAGGAUGUCUUCAUUUGGUGAUUUUGUUGCAUUGUCCGAUGUUUGUGAUGUACCAACUGCAAAAAUUAUUUCCAGAGAAGUAUCUGAUGGUAUAAUUGCCCCAGGAUAUGAAGAAGAAGCCUUGACAAUACUUUCCAAAAAGAAAAAUGGAAACUAUUGUGUCCUUCAGAUGGACCAGUCUUACAAACCAGAUGAAAAUGAAGUUCGAACUCUCUUUGGUCUUCAUUUAAGCCAGAAGAGAAAUAAUGGUGUUGUCGACAAGUCAUUAUUUAGCAAUGUUGUUACCAAAAAUAAAGAUCUGCCAGAGUCUGCCCUCCGAGACCUCAUCGUAGCCACCAUUGCUGUCAAGUACACUCAGUCUAACUCUGUGUGCUACGCCAAGAACGGGCAGGUUAUCGGCAUUGGAGCAGGACAGCAGUCUCGUAUACACUGCACUCGCCUUGCAGGAGAUAAGGCAAACUAUUGGUGGCUUAGACACCAUCCACAAGUGCUUUCGAUGAAGUUUAAAACAGGAGUGAAGAGAGCAGAAAUCUCCAAUGCCAUCGAUCAAUAUGUGACUGGAACCAUUGGCGAGGAUGAAGAUUUGAUAAAGUGGAAGGCACUGUUUGAGGAAGUCCCUGAGUUACUCACUGAGGCAGAGAAGAAGGAAUGGGUUGAGAAACUGACUGAAGUUUCUAUCAGCUCUGAUGCCUUCUUCCCUUUCCGAGAUAACGUAGACAGAGCUAAAAGGAGACGGGUCUCGCUAUGUUACCCAGACUGGCCUUGAACUCCCGAGCUCAAGCAACCCUCCCACCUCGGCGCCUCAAAGUACUGGGAUUACAGAUAUCAAGGCUUUAAGCAAGAUUCAGAUGAAGGGCCUGCUUUACCAGCUCACCUAUGAAUAUGGAAGCAUCAGCUUACUUUUUGCAGCACAUGUGUCUCAGGGGGUUGUCCCUUCCCACAGUGUGUAGAUUGGCAUCGAGAUGACGUUCUCUCUCCAGGGUGCAGUGAUGACCGACAUAUGUGAGACAGUCAUUUAAUAUCACCUUUAUUUUGUACUUUCUGUGAUUUUUAAAACACAUACAGAGCAGCUCUGUUUAGCAGCAGGGCUGAUAAAGCUUAAAGAUCAGUAAUAAAUAGAAGUCCAGGGGCUGGGUCUGUAUUUCGCUAAGGAAACCUCAUCUGAGCUUCAUGCCCUGUAAAAUUAAGCUCUAAAACCUCCCCUAAAUGAGAUAGCUAAAUGUCAAAGCAUUUUAUACACUGUAAAUCAAUUCAAAUGGGAGUAUUUUUUUUUUCAAAUGAAGAUGGGGAAGUAUCUUUCUGUAUUUAUUUUUAAUAUUCUUUGCCAGGUAUUUAUUGAAAUACCUUCUUUCAUUGUACAAUAGUAUAUUUAAAAAGUGCUUUGCAUGUCUUAUUAUGAACUACUAAUUUUUUACUAAUAAUUACUUGCAUUUCCACUAUUUACUAUUCUGAAUGUCACAUUUAUUUAUUUAUUUAUGGUUUUUGAGAUGGAGUCUUGCUCUGUCCCCCAUGCUGGAGUUCAGUGGCACAAUCUCAGCUCACUGCAACCUCCGCCUUCUAGGUUCAAGCCAUUCUCCUACCUCAGCCUUCUGAGUAGCUGGGACCAAAGGCGCCCACCGCCAUGCCUGGUAACAUUUGUAUUUUUAAUAGAGACAGGGUUUCGCCAUGUUGGCCAGGCUGGUCUCAAACUCCUGACCUCAGGUGAUCCAUCUGCCUCAGCCUCCCAAAGUGCUGGGAUUAGAGGUGUGAGCCACUGCACCUGGCCUGAAUGUCAAAUUUAAUCCCAAAGUUUGUUUCCUCAAUGUUAAAUUGAAAAAGAAAUGACCUUUACAGAUCAGGAGUAAACAAACUGUUUAGCUGGGAGUUUAUCAAGCCAUGCCAAAAGUGUCAGCUGACCCAAAGUAAGACAUGUUAGAUGGGGGUUAUCAUACCAUGGGGUUUCCCUAAGAUAAAACUCCUCCAUAUUAUACUAUUCAAAUACUUUUAAUAUCUUAGUCAUUUUUAUUUCCCUUGCAGGCAAUCUCUUUGAACAGAGGUUUAUUCAAUAAAGGAAGGAAAGGUGGAGGGAGGAAGGCAAGAAUUACAAUGGUUAGAAAAGAGCAACUAAAGAUUAUUUCUAUUAUACUUCUGAAGGGUAAACUAGCAAUUUUAAUAAAUAUUUGGGUCCACUUAAAUCUAUUAAAGCAGAAAGUGUAAAGCUAUCUCCAUUAGUGAAGAGAUGAAGUGACAAAAACCAAUCAGUUUUUGUAGCAACUGACUUAGAAAAUCUUGUACUGAAAUCAACAAUUAGAGAGACUUGCACAUCAUAGAUUUUCAAAUGUUUGCUGAAUUGAAAAAGAACAUUCACAGGAAUUAUUUCCCCCGAAGGUGUCUUAUAUCAAAUAGAUGAACUUCAAGUUGUGGAAUGUAAAUCUUUUAUUAAAACAGUUGUCUUUCCACAGUAGUAAAGCUUUGGCACAUACAGUAUAAAAAAUAA